RNAcentral lists this ribosomal RNA (271 nucleotides) under uncultured Pseudomonas sp. RNAcentral describes it as "partial 16S ribosomal RNA". It matches the Rfam family "Bacterial small subunit ribosomal RNA", at positions 1113 to 1382 of the family's 1533-position model. Lineage: Bacteria; Pseudomonadati; Pseudomonadota; Gammaproteobacteria; Pseudomonadales; Pseudomonadaceae. The record is from RNAcentral.
AGUUACCAGCACGUUAUGGUGGGCACUCUAAGGAGACUGCCGGUGACAACCGGAGGAAGGUGGGGAUGACGUCAAGUCAUCAUGGCCCUUACGGGCCUGGGCUACACACGUGCUACAAUGGUCGGGUACAAAGGGUUGCCAAGCCGCGAGGUGGAGCUAAUCCCAUAAAACCGAUCGUAGUCCGGAUCGCAGUCUGCAACUCGACUGCGUGAAGUCGGAAUCGCUAGUAAUCGUGAAUCAGAAUGUCACGGUGAAUACGUUCCCGGGCCUU